AAAGUGUGAUAAUUAAUGUGAAUUGCAUAUGCUUGUGAAUCAUCAAGUUUUCGAACGCAGCUUGCACUCUAUCCUUUACGGAUUGAGUAUACCUGUUUGAGCGUUUGUAAAGAUUAUAAACACAUUUGUGUUUGUAUGGGCUGAUACGCGUCUUUGUGCGUGUAGAGCCUUAAAAGUAGUUUAUAUGCGUACGGUGAGCUGGCGCGGCGUUAUGUAGUAAUGGUGUUGUUGCUGGGUGGGUGGGUGUGUGUGGGAAGGUGCGUGCCGUCAUGGCGCGUACAUUUUACUACCACACACACAUAUACACACACACACACGCACACAUAGCUACUGACGACACGACACCUAUGCGCACACUAUAUACAAACUUUAAACCUCAAAUCAGGUAGGAUUACCCGCU
Molecule: unclassified non-coding RNA, 400 nt
Filed under: uncultured fungus
Lineage: Eukaryota; Fungi
Description: sequence contains ITS1
Rfam family: 5.8S ribosomal RNA (bases 1-106)
Source: RNAcentral